UGGGGAAUUUUCCGCAAUGGGCGAAAGCCUGACGGAGCAAUACCGCGUGAGGGAGGAAGGCUCUUGGGUUGUAAACCUCUUUUCUCAGGGAAGAAGUUCUGACGGUACCUGAGGAAGAAGCAUCGGCUAACUCCGUGCCAGCAGCCGCGGUAAUACGGAGGAUGCAAGCGUUAUCCGGAAUGAUUGGGCGUAAAGAGUCCGUAGGUGGCAUUGAAAGUCUGCUGUUAAAGAGUCUAGCUCAACUAGAGAAAAGCGGUGGAAACUACAAAGCUAGAGUGAGGUCGGGGCAGAAGGAAUUCCUGGUGUAGCGGUGAAAUGCGUAGAGAUCAGGAAGAACACCGGUGGCGAAAGCGUUCUGCUAGGUCUGGACUGACACUGAGGGACGAAAGCUAGGGGAGCG
RNAcentral lists this ribosomal RNA (400 nucleotides) under uncultured bacterium. RNAcentral's name for it is "bacterial SSU rRNA". It matches the Rfam family "Bacterial small subunit ribosomal RNA", at positions 355 to 770 of the family's 1533-position model. The record is from RNAcentral.